RNAcentral lists this ribosomal RNA (497 nucleotides) under uncultured bacterium. RNAcentral describes it as "partial 16S ribosomal RNA". It matches the Rfam family "Bacterial small subunit ribosomal RNA", at positions 29 to 507 of the family's 1533-position model. The record is from RNAcentral.
AAUGAACGCUGGCGGCGUGCCUAACACAUGCAAGUCGAACGACAACACGAGGAGCUUUUUCUCUUGAGGUUAGCGGCGGACGGGCGAGUAACACGUGGAUCGCCUACCUCUUUGACUGGGAUAAUAACGGGAGACAGGUUCUACUACCGCCUCAUAUAUCGUACUGGUUGGUUCAAUAGUGCUAGAAGCUUUUGCUGUCUCUUAUAGCCGAAUCCGGGUCGGAUUAGCUAGUUGGUAAGGUAAAGGCUUACCAAGGCGACGAUGCGUAGCCGACCUGAGAGGGUGAUCGGCCACACUGGAACUGAGACACGGUCCAGACUCCUACGGGAGGCAGCAGUAGGGAAUAUUCGGCAAUGGGCGAAAGCUUGAUGGAGCAAUACCGCGUGAGUGAUGAAGGCCUUCGGGUUGUAAAGCCCUGUUGUUGGGAAAGAAAAGAAGUAUGUUUAACCAUGGACGUUUUGACGGUACCCAAAGAAUAAGCACCGGCUAACUUCGUG